UACGGAGGGAGCUAGCGUUGUUCGGAAUUACUGGGCGUAAAGCGCACGUAGGCGGCUUUGUAAGUUAGAGGUGAAAGCCCGGGGCUCAACCCCGGAAUAGCCUUUAAGACUGCAUCGCUUGAAUCCGGGAGAGGUGAGUGGAAUUCCGAGUGUAGAGGUGAAAUUCGUAGAUAUUGGGAAGAACACCGGUGGCGAAGGCGGCGCUCUGGACCGAGACUGACGCUGAGGCGCGAAAGCGUGGGGAGCAAACAGG
Molecule: ribosomal RNA, 253 nt
Filed under: uncultured bacterium
Lineage: Bacteria
Description: partial 16S ribosomal RNA
Rfam family: Bacterial small subunit ribosomal RNA
Source: RNAcentral